RNAcentral lists this ribosomal RNA (207 nucleotides) under uncultured bacterium. RNAcentral describes it as "partial 16S ribosomal RNA". It matches the Rfam family "Bacterial small subunit ribosomal RNA", at positions 568 to 774 of the family's 1533-position model. The record is from RNAcentral.
AGCGCAGGCGGUUUCUUAAGUCUGAUGUGAAAGCCUUCGGCUCAACCGAAGAAGUGCAUCGGAAACUGGGAAACUUGAGUGCAGAAGAGGACAGUGGAACUCCAUGUGUAGCGGUGAAGUGCGUAGAUAUAUGGAAGAACACCAGUGGCGAAGGCGGCUGUCUGGUCUGUAACUGACGCUGAGGCUCGAAAGCAUGGGUAGCAAACA